Molecule: ribosomal RNA, 668 nt
Filed under: uncultured Eubacteriales bacterium
Lineage: Bacteria; Bacillati; Bacillota; Clostridia; Eubacteriales
Description: bacterial SSU rRNA
Rfam family: Bacterial small subunit ribosomal RNA
Source: RNAcentral
GACGAACGCUGGCGGCGUGCCUAAUACAUGCAAGUCGAGCGGAUCUCAAGGAGCUUGCUCCUUGAGAUUAGCGGCGGACGGGUGAGUAACACGUGGGCAACCUGCCUGUAAGAUCGGGAUAACACCGGGAAACCGGUGCUAAUACCGGAUAAUUCUUUUCCUCUCAUGAGGAAAAGCUGAAAGACGGUUUCGGCUGUCACUUACAGAUGGGCCCGCGGCGCAUUAGCUAGUUGGUGAGGUAACGGCUCACCAAGGCGACGAUGCGUAGCCGACCUGAGAGGGUGAUCGGCCACACUGGGACUGAGACACGGCCCAGACUCCUACGGGAGGCAGCAGUAGGGAAUCUUCCGCAAUGGACGAAAGUCUGACGGAGCAACGCCGCGUGAGUGAUGAAGGCCUUCGGGUCGUAAAACUCUGUUGUUAGGGAAGAACAAGUAUCGGAGUCACUGCCGGUACCUUGACGGUACCUAACCAGAAAGCCACGGCUAACUACGUGCCAGCAGCCGCGGUAAUACGUAGGUGGCAAGCGUUGUCCGGAAUUAUUGGGCGUAAAGCGCGCGCAGGCGGUCCUUUAAGUCUGAUGUGAAAGCCCACGGCUCAACCGUGGAGGGUCAUUGGAAACUGGGGGACUUGAGUGCAGAAGAGGAAAGCGGAAUUCCACGUGUAGC